Molecule: ribosomal RNA, 221 nt
Filed under: uncultured bacterium
Lineage: Bacteria
Description: partial 16S ribosomal RNA
Rfam family: Bacterial small subunit ribosomal RNA
Source: RNAcentral
AGACGCGUACGGUACGCGCCAUACAGGGGAGUAACAGUUAGAAAUGACUGCUAAUACCGCAUAAGCGCACAGUGCUGCAUGGCACAGUGUGAAAAACUCCGGUGGUAUGAGAUGGACCCGCGUCUGAUUAGCUAGUUGGUGGGGUAACGGCCUACCAAGGCGACGAUCAGUAGCCGGCCUGAGAGGGUGAACGGCCACAUUGGGACUGAGACACGGCCCAA